Trichobilharzia regenti is the source of this 46-nucleotide non-coding RNA. NCBI's taxonomy places the organism in Eukaryota, Metazoa, Platyhelminthes, Trematoda, Strigeidida, Schistosomatidae. The record is from Rfam.
GUACUGAUGAAGAGUUCCAAACUAGGACGAAAUAGCUGUCCAGUAC